Gavialis gangeticus (Gharial) is the source of this 1486-nucleotide long non-coding RNA. RefSeq lists it as uncharacterized. The record is from RefSeq and is a predicted model, not a curated record. The transcript has 3 exons. NCBI's taxonomy places the organism in Eukaryota, Metazoa, Chordata, Crocodylia, Gavialidae.
GCCAAUCAGUUUGACCUCAAUCCCUGGCAAGAUCUUGGAAAAAAAUUAUCAAAUAAUCCAUUAACAACAUGCUGACGGUAGACGCCAUUCUGAGAGACAGACAACACGACUUCAUUUUGGGUCUUUCACAAACAACCAAAAGAAUUCCAAGACUAAAACUCAUUUGACAUUUCCCUCCUACCUACUUUCAGUUCUUCACCCAGGUUUAGCACUUAGAUGGUUUAUACUGUCUUGUUUUGGAAUGCAAGACUCCAGCAUCCUUGUUCUUCACAAUAUUUGGAAACAUGGAAGUGAAUUUGGACAGAAUGGACAGAAACAGAGAGAUGGUCACAUGCAGUGAAGAUGGAGACAUGCAGUCAAGAUACAUAAACCAACAACAUUCAGCACUAAUCAUUGACAGUAUUUCUGGUGUCCCUUUUGGCUCAUUUACUUUAUACAUGAAAGGGGAUUUUUUUAAAACGAUUGAAAACAUGGUAAGAAUAAAAGGUAUGAAUAAAGUAAAGCAUCAAGGCUGUUAAAGGCAAAACAUAUAUUGAGCACAAUUGAACUGUAGCACUGUAGUGCUACAACUGCCAUUCACUCUUAUUGAGAAUAAAUCUACAAGUUUGUUCAUUAGAAAAAUACAUAUAAGCUUACUCAUGAAGCUUGAUAAAAAAAUCAAGAUGUGAAAUAAUAUUUUGGCAUAAAUAUUGUUAAAAUUGCACAUUUAAUGAAAUACCUUCCAUAUGUUUACAGUUGAUGAAACUGUCAUAAAUAAUUGUAGUAUAACUGGCAAUUGUUUUAUUUCAAUGAUAAGUAUAUAACUGCUUAGUAACCACCAUACCAGCAAACUGACCCAAGCAUCCUUUUUAAAAAAUAAUUUUUAAUCCAAAUAAUAAUCAACAUAUGGCUCUGGUGACUCCCAUAUUAUUUUAAUUUUAUGCUUAGAUGAUUUUAAUAACCUUAACAUUUUUUUUAAAAACUCAUAAUUGAAAUUAAUUACUUUUUGACUGAGAGUUGCCAAAUACAGAUCACUGUACAAAGGAUAACUUAUUUUGAGAUUGGCUAUGUAAGUCUAGGAUUUCAUGUAAUAAAACCAGUUAUAUAGAAUCCCCCCCAAAAUCCAUAAUGCUCCAUUGUAUAAAAUAAGUUUAUAAUUUUAAAUAAGACAUCUUAGAAUGUUCUUCAUAGAACCCCAAAUUAUGACUGCUAAGUAUCUGACUGAAAAAAUCUUUACUACUUGUCAGAACAUAAUUAAAAGUGCUGGGUUCUAUAUAGAAUAUAGUUUUAACACUGUGGCAAGGCACUGUUGGUGCCUGCCACUUCAAGCGCUGGAGCAGGCAGCAGCCGGGUGCUUGAUUGCAGCGGCCAUUUUGAAACCAGGCUAUAAAUAGGGGAAGCAGCAGUUUGCUGUUGGCAGCCAUGAGAGAGACAUCAGCCAGCUGAGCUGAGGCUCAGGAACAUCUUUUUGGAGGUCUAUGGGCUGGGGCUAUGGGGAUGGAGGAAG